ACAGCAGUAGCCACGGUAAUACGAAGGGUGCAAGCGUUAAUCGGAAUUACUGGGCGUAAAGCGUGCGUAGGCGGUGAGUUAAGUCUGCUGUGAAAUCCCCGGGCUCAACCUGGGAAUGGCAGUGGAUACUGGCUCGCUAGAGUGUGUCAGAGGAUGGUGGAAUUCCCGGUGUAGCGGUGAAAUGCGUAGAGAUCGGGAGGAACAUCAGUGGCGAAGGCGGCCAUCUGGGACAACACUGACGCUGAGGCACGAAAGCGUGGGGAGCAAACAGGAUUAGAUACCCGCGUAGUCCCUGUCUCUUAUAC
Molecule: ribosomal RNA, 305 nt
Filed under: uncultured bacterium
Lineage: Bacteria
Description: partial 16S ribosomal RNA
Rfam family: Bacterial small subunit ribosomal RNA
Source: RNAcentral